GCCAUGUGAACAAGAAAGAACAAAUAAAAGAGUUCUAAUGUUUAAAAAAUCAAUAACUAAAUUUAAAAUAUUAAUAAAUUAUGCAUAAGUGCCCAAUGUUUUGUUUUUGUUAAUGCCUUUUUCUUCCUCUUAUGUCAACCUUUCUUGAGAAUGGAGCGGGGGAAGGGAGAAGGUCGGGUCAGCACCAAUGCUCCUAUUGGAUCUCUGGCUUGUGAGAGAACUCGUUCAAUUUCAAACAAAAUUAAAAGUUGGAUCAAGCUGAAAAUGGCAAGCCAGCAUGGGCUGGGCCCUGGCAACUUGCUUUUUCUUGCCCUAUUCAUAGUUUGCGUAAUCGUGCCACUAUUGGAGAUGAGAUCAGCCCAAUAGACUUGGUUUGUUUGAUGAAUUUGGACUUGUUCUGGACCUCUAAUCAAGCCAUUGUGCUUCAAAGGGGGUACUUGCUCGGAUGAGUGCUUUUCUAUGCCUCAAUUAGGAGGACUUCAACAUUCUUUCAAUCGUGCAUCUAUGGCUUGGAAAGUACGAACGGUA
RNAcentral lists this long non-coding RNA (528 nucleotides) under Prunus persica (peach). RNAcentral describes it as "long non-coding RNA (PPER_LNC001708)". The record is from RNAcentral. Lineage: Eukaryota; Viridiplantae; Streptophyta; Magnoliopsida; Rosales; Rosaceae.